RNAcentral lists this ribosomal RNA (253 nucleotides) under uncultured bacterium. RNAcentral describes it as "partial 16S ribosomal RNA". It matches the Rfam family "Bacterial small subunit ribosomal RNA", at positions 524 to 776 of the family's 1533-position model. The record is from RNAcentral.
GACGGAGGAUGCAAGCGUUAUCCGGAAUGAUUGGGCGUAAAGCGUCCGCAGGUGGCAGUUCAAGUCUGCUGUCAAAGACCGGGGCUUAACUUCGGAAAGGCAGUGGAAACUGAACAGCUAGAGUAUGGUAGGGGCAGAGGGAAUUCCUGGUGUAGCGGUGAAAUGCGUAGAGAUCCGGAAGAACACCGGUGGCGAAGGCGGUCUGCUGGGCAGUUGCUGACACUGAUGCGCGACAGCGUGGGGAGCAAACAGG